UACGUAGGUGGCAAGCGUUAAUCGGAAUUAUUGGGCGUAAAGCGCGCGCAGGCGGUCCCUUAAGUCUGAUGUGGAAGCCCACGGCUCAACCGUGGAGGGUCAUUGGAAACUGGGGAACUAGAGUGCAGAAGAGGAAAGUGGAAUUCCACGUGUAGCGGUGAAAUGCGUAGAGAUGUGGAGGAACACCAGUGGCGAAGGCGACUUUCUGGUCUGUAACUGACGCUGCGGCGCGAAAGCGUGGGGAGCAAACAGG
Molecule: unclassified non-coding RNA, 253 nt
Filed under: uncultured Caryophanaceae bacterium
Lineage: Bacteria; Bacillati; Bacillota; Bacilli; Caryophanales; Caryophanaceae
Description: uncultured Planococcaceae bacterium contains 16S-23S intergenic spacer region
Rfam family: Bacterial small subunit ribosomal RNA
Source: RNAcentral